Molecule: unclassified non-coding RNA, 232 nt
Filed under: Hevea brasiliensis (rubber tree)
Lineage: Eukaryota; Viridiplantae; Streptophyta; Magnoliopsida; Malpighiales; Euphorbiaceae
Source: RNAcentral
GGUUCUGUUGGGAAGAGGUUGCUGGCUUUGAAAUUUUUGGAAACAUAUGUUCUACUUUUUACAUCCGAUACAAAUGAUCCACAGAAAGCUAUCUCAGAAGGAAGUAGGGACGUUUUUAACAUUUCAUGGCUAGAUGGUGGGUUUCCUAUUUUGGAUCCAGUUGGGCUAAUGUCAGAAGCUAAUAGGAUGCUUGGUAUUCUGUUGAAUUUGUUGCAGACCAGUUCUGUUCCUG